RNAcentral lists this ribosomal RNA (253 nucleotides) under uncultured bacterium. RNAcentral's name for it is "partial 16S ribosomal RNA". It matches the Rfam family "Bacterial small subunit ribosomal RNA", at positions 524 to 776 of the family's 1533-position model. The record is from RNAcentral.
UACGUAGGGGGCUAGCGUUGUCCGGAAUCAUUGGGCGUAAAGCGCGUGUAGGCGGUCCGGUAAGUCCGCUGUGAAAGUCGAGGGCUCAACCCUCGAAUGCCGGUGGAUACUGUCGGGCUAGAGUACGGAAGAGGCGAGUGGAAUUCCUGGUGUAGCAGUGAAAUGCGUAGAUAUCAGGAGGAACACCGAUGGCGAAGGCAGGUCUCUGGGCUGACACUGACGCUCAUGCACGAAAGCGUGGGGAGCAAACAGG